UGGGGAAUAUUGCACAAUGGGGGAAACCCUGAUGCAGCAACGCCGCGUGCGGGAUGACGGCCUUCGGGUUGUAAACCGCUUUCAGCCAUGACGAAGCUUUUGUGACGGUAGUGGCAGAAGAAGCACCGGCUAACUACGUGCCAGCAGCCGCGGUGAUACGUAGGGUGCGAGCGUUGUCCGGAAUUAUUGGGCGUAAGAGCUUGUAGGCGGUUUGUCGCGUCGAAAGUGUAAACUCAGUGCUUAACGCUGAGCCUGCUUUCGAUACGGGCUGACUAGAGGAAGGUAGGGGAGAAUGGAAUUCCCGGUGGAGCGGUGGAAUGCGCAGAUAUCGGGGGGAACACCAGUGGCGAAGGCGGUUCUCUGGACCUUUCCUGACGCUGAGAAGCGAAAGCGUGGGUAGCAAACAGG
Molecule: ribosomal RNA, 408 nt
Filed under: bacterium
Lineage: Bacteria
Description: partial 16S ribosomal RNA
Rfam family: Bacterial small subunit ribosomal RNA
Source: RNAcentral